UAGAGGGAGAAGCAGGCUCCAUUCAGGGAGCCCGACGUGGGACUCGAUCCCUGGUCUCCAGGAUCAGGCCCUGGGCUGAAGGCAGUGCUAAACCACUGAGCCACCGGGGUGCCCGUGAUUCUUCUUUACUCAUGUGCCUUGAGGUGGGAGGAACCAGACCCAGGCACCAGCAGAAAGGACAUGGGCAGCCGGGCAGGCUGCAGUGCUCAGCCGGGACUUCAGGAAGCGUCCCACCAUCCCCCAGCAAACUUGGGUCUCCUCACCGCCCCCCCAAGACCCCAUGGGGGCAAUUCCCUCAAGGGCCAGGCCACAGAAGAUCCAACAGGGACUGGCAGGGGCUUCCUGAGGGCGGAAGUGUGGCCAGGGAACUCUUGGGAGGCCCUAGAUGGACGCCCACAGCAUGACCUCAGCCCUCUUGCCUGCCGCAUCCCAUACAUGCUCAGGUGGGCUAUCACUCCUGGGACACCAGUAGCGCCUGCCCCACAAGGCCCUCAUGGCUAACUGGGAUGCAAGCCCUGACUGGAUCAAGAUCCCUGUCUUGGUUGGUUCCCUCUCCUGCACAUUAAGAGCACAGAAACCCUGCCCAUGUGGGCAGAGAACCAAAUGAUGAGCCUUUACUGAGGCUUGGUGGCUAUGCCAGAUGACAAGGACCAGACGGGCAGAGGGAGGGAGCUGUGGCUCAUCCUAGCAGAUGGAAUGUUCCACUGUGGUGUCUGUCAGGGCUGCCAUUUCCCUUCCUCUCCAGGGGCUGAAAGCCCCACUCGGUGGACAAACGUGUCAGAGGGACACAGGAGCCAACCAAAAGAGCGCUCAAUGGCCAAAGACAGAAAAUAACAGUAUUGGAUUAUAACCCCAAGUAUAUACGUAUCCCUGAUCCAUACUGAUAUGCACGAUGGAGUAAAUACACAAAUGGGAGAGAAUGGGGAGAACAGAUCCCUCCUGUACAGAAUCCCGGAGAAUUUAUGUAGAUACCCUGGCUUUGGGGAGAGGGAGCAGGGGGGCGCCUGGGCGGCUCAGUCCGUUACGCAUCUGCCUUGGGCUCAGGUCAUGAUCCCAGGUCCUGAGAUCGAGUCCUGUAUCAGGCUCCCUGCUCAGCAGGCAACCUGCUCUCCCUCUGCACCUCUCCCCCAUUCACCCCUGUGCACUCUCUUUCUUUCCCCCAAGUAAAUAAAUAAAAUCUUAAAAUAAAAAAGAGAGAUGGAGCAGAACUCCCCAGCCUUACACGGGGGUUGUACUUAGGACUCCUUCCAAAGAGGACAAUACAUUGGGGGACAAGAAAAACCUGACGCCCAGUACCACAGCCAGGUAACUGCGGCCCGCUGUCAACAGCAUGAGGCCAUGCUGAC
RNAcentral lists this long non-coding RNA (1346 nucleotides) under Canis lupus familiaris (dog). Its description in RNAcentral is "lncRNA (ENSCAFG00000052617.1, ENSCAFG00805012195.1, ENSCAFG00845018507.1)". The record is from RNAcentral. Lineage: Eukaryota; Metazoa; Chordata; Mammalia; Carnivora; Canidae.